AGUGAACGCUGGCGGUAGGCCUAACACAUGCAAGUCGAACGGCAGCACAGUAAGAGCUUGCUCUUACGGGUGGCGAGUGGCGGACGGGUGAGGAAUACAUCGGAAUCUACUUUUUCGUGGGGGAUAACGUAGGGAAACUUACGCUAAUACCGCAUACGACCUACGGGUGAAAGCAGGGGAUCUUCGGACCUUGCGCGAUUGAAUGAGCCGAUGGCGGAUUAGCUAGUUGGCGGGGUAAAGGCCCACCAAGGCGACGAUCCGUAGCUGGUCUGAGAGGAUGAGCAGCCACACUGGAACUGAAACACGGUCCAGGCUCCUACGGGAGGCAGCAGUGGGGAAUAUUGGACAAUGGGCGCAAGCCUGAUCCAGCCAUACCGCGUGGGUGAAGAAGGCCUUCGGGUUGUAAAGCCCUUUUGUUGGGAAAGAAAAGCAGCAGGUUAAUACCCCGCUGUUCUGACGGUACCCAAAGAAUAAGCACCGGCUAACUUCG
RNAcentral lists this ribosomal RNA (490 nucleotides) under uncultured bacterium. RNAcentral describes it as "partial 16S ribosomal RNA". It matches the Rfam family "Bacterial small subunit ribosomal RNA", at positions 29 to 505 of the family's 1533-position model. The record is from RNAcentral.